CUACGCCACGCUCCCCAUCAGCCAGCCCUGACAGAGCUGGCAGUGCUCCGCACGGGCAGCAUUUUGGAGAGUCGCCGUCGAGAGGAAAGCAGGAAACGGAGAGAAGGGAUGAAAAAACAAGAAAGAAAGCAUAAAAUGAGAUCAAGUCUUUGUGUUUGUUGGAGCGGUCAGGAUGUACAGUAGCUGCUAAAUAAGAGAUGGAUAACAAAGAUUAGAACAAAAGAAAGUAAGUCAUGCAGGUUUGGAGUGACACGAGGUUUCCUUGUCACCCGUGUCGAUAGAAAAGGAUUAUGGCUGAAACAGAACAGGAAUGGAGGGAGUUUGAAAGAGAAGAGAGAAUGGAGGGGCCGCCAGAAAGGUCAUGUCCGAGCAACCAACCCACCUCGGGCAUUACUCAUUAACCUAGCAACAAGCUAAGUCCGGUAACAGUGAUGACCUGAGGGGGGAUCAAACCAGAGAGCAGCUUCACCACAUUUCUGAAAUUUUACCAUGAUCUUCUACUAAAUUCAAGCUGAGAGCCUCAAGUUAGCCAUGAAUAAUGACAACCUUGAGCUGUCCUGAGUUUAAAAUGAGUCAGCAUGAUCCGGGUCACUGAAGUGGAAACGUUUCAAAAACAAGACAAAUAUCUGAACCUCCAAAUGCCACAUAAAUUGCUUACCUCAAAGAUGAAACACUAAACUCAAAAAGACUGAAUGAGAGGCAGCUCUUUAAAGGGGAAAUGUCAAUUUCAUGCAAUCAAGAAAGAUCAUAAGAUGACUAGAUUAAGUUGUAUAAUAACCC
Long non-coding RNA from Cyprinus carpio carpio, 780 nucleotides. The record is from Ensembl. NCBI's taxonomy places the organism in Eukaryota, Metazoa, Chordata, Actinopteri, Cypriniformes, Cyprinidae.